GGGAGGCCAGCAGUAGGGAAUCUUCCNCAAUGGGCGCAAGCCUGAUGGAGCAACACCGCGUGAGUGAAGAAGGGUUUCGGCUCGUAAAGCUCUGUUGUUAAAGAAGAACACGUAUGAGAGUAACUGUUCAUACGUUGACGGUAUUUAACCAGAAAGUCACGGCUAACUACGUGCCAGCAGCCGCGGUAAUACGUAGGUGGCAAGCGUUAUCCGGAUUUAUUGGGCGUAAAGAGAGUGCAGGCGGUUUUCUAAGUCUGAUGUGAAAGCCUUCGGCUUAACCGGAGAAGUGCAUCGGAAACUGGAUAACUUGAGUGCAGAAGAGGGUAGUGGAACUCCAUGUGUAGCGGUGGAAUGCGUAGAUAUAUGGAAGAACACCAGUGGCGAAGGCGGCUACCUGGUCUGCAACUGACGCUGAGACUCGAAAGCAUGGGUAGCGAACAGGAUUAGAUACCCUGGUAGUCCAUGCCGUAAACGAUGAGUGCUAGGUGUUGGAGGGUUUCCGCCCUUCAGUGCCGGAGCUAACGCAUUAAGCACUCCGCCUGGGGAGUACGACCGCAAGGUUGAAACUCAAAGGAAUUGACGGGGGCCCGCACAAGCGGUGGAGCAUGUGGUUUAAUUCGAAGCUACGCGAAGAACCUUACCAGGUCUUGACAUCUUGCGCCAACCCUAGAGAUAGGGCGUUUCCUUCGGGAACGCAAUGACAGGUGGUGCAUGGUCGUCGUCAGCUCGUGUCGUGAGAUGUUGGGUUAAGUCCCGCAACGAGCGCAACCCUUGUUACUAGUUGCCAGCAUUAAGUUGGGCACUCUAGUGAGACUGCCGGUGACAAACCGGAGGAAGGUGGGGACGACGUCAGAUCAUCAUGCCCCUUAUGACCUGGGCUACACACGUGCUACAAUGGACGGUACAACGAGUCGCGAACUCGCGAGGGCAAGCAAAUCUCUUAAAACCGUUCUCAGUUCGGACUGCAGGCUGCAACUCGCCUGCACGAAGUCGGAAUCGCUAGUAAUCGCGGAUCAGCAUGCCGCGGUGAAUACGUUCCCGGGCCUUGUACACACCGCCCGUCACACCAUGAGAGUUUGUAACACCCAAAGUCGGUGGGGUAACCUUUAGAGCCAGCCGCUAAG
This 1124-nucleotide ribosomal RNA is filed under the name Limosilactobacillus fermentum. Its description in RNAcentral is "bacterial SSU rRNA". It matches the Rfam family "Bacterial small subunit ribosomal RNA", at positions 342 to 1460 of the family's 1533-position model. Lineage: Bacteria; Bacillati; Bacillota; Bacilli; Lactobacillales; Lactobacillaceae. The record is from RNAcentral.